RNAcentral lists this ribosomal RNA (253 nucleotides) under uncultured bacterium. RNAcentral describes it as "partial 16S ribosomal RNA". It matches the Rfam family "Bacterial small subunit ribosomal RNA", at positions 524 to 776 of the family's 1533-position model. The record is from RNAcentral.
UACGUAGGGGGCUAGCGUUGUCCGGAAUCAUUGGGCGUAAAGAGCGUGUAGGCGGCCCGGUAAGUCCGCUGUGAAAGUCGGGGGCUCAACCCUCGAAUGCCGGUGGAUACUGUCGGGCUAGAGUGCGGAAGAGGCGAGUGGAAUUCCUGGUGUAGCGGUGAAAUGCGUAGAGAUCUGGAAGAACACCAAAGGCGAAGGCAGCGUCCUGGGAAGUGACUGACGCUCAUGUGCGAAAGCUAGGGGAGCGAACAGG